UAUUCUUUUGGUUCUUUGACAAACAUUCAUUUACUUUCACUCCAGGAGUAUUUUGUUCUUCAAUAAAUGUAAAAUUUAGCACCUUCGAGAUUAGUUCUUAAGAGAAAAUCUAUGAACUACUGCAUCAGACAAGGUAAUGUCAUAACAUGCUUGUUUACCUAUUUAUUGCACAAAUCUUUGUCCAAUAUGCUUGUGGUUAUGAGUGUAUCAUCUAUGAAAUGAUCCACAGAGAGAAAUCAUAUGAUUCAAUAAGACAGGGAGUCUUGCUGUCACCAGAUUAUGAAUUGUGUUUCUGAAAUUAGCAAUGCCUGAUACUUUCUUUUAGAAAGGAAUAUAGAUUAAUUCCAAAAGUGUAAUAUUUACAAGUAGAGGAGAAAUAGCGAAUUAUUUUUAGUUAUGGUAGACUAUGAAAAAACAGAACAUGUUUUUGAGUCCAUUCUAUUUUAAUGGAACAAAUUUUUUUUUUUAUUUUCAUGGAUUUUUAAUGGAAAAAAAAAACAGGAAAAUGUUACUUUUCAGACAUGCCUUGUAAAGAAUCUUUGAGUAAACCUGUGGAAGACUCACCUUUCACUGCAUAGGUAACAUUACUCCUAUUGGAAUGAACAUUUAUAUAUUUUACUAGGAAAUAAUAAUAGAUAGCUGCAUAAAUUCUGAUAGGGGUGAUUGUAUAAUCCAUAAAGUAUAAAAUCCUGCAAUACUUUAAUUUAUAAUACAUC
This 716-nucleotide long non-coding RNA is filed under the name Marmota monax (woodchuck). Lineage: Eukaryota; Metazoa; Chordata; Mammalia; Rodentia; Sciuridae. The record is from RNAcentral.